This 72-nucleotide transfer RNA is filed under the name Rubritalea squalenifaciens DSM 18772. It matches the Rfam family "tRNA". Rfam says of the family: Transfer RNA (tRNA) molecules are approximately 80 nucleotides in length. Lineage: Bacteria; Pseudomonadati; Verrucomicrobiota; Verrucomicrobiia; Verrucomicrobiales; Rubritaleaceae. The record is from Rfam by way of RNAcentral.
GCCGCUGUAGCUCAGGGGUAGAGCAGCUCAUUCGUAACGAGCAGGUCGUCGGUUCGAGACCGACCAGCGGCU